This is a long non-coding RNA of Rosa rugosa (rugosa rose), 351 nucleotides long. RefSeq lists it as uncharacterized. The record is from RefSeq and is a predicted model, not a curated record. The transcript has 2 exons. NCBI's taxonomy places the organism in Eukaryota, Viridiplantae, Streptophyta, Magnoliopsida, Rosales, Rosaceae.
CUCUCUCUCUCGCAGCAGCAGCCCCCUCAUUCUCUCUCACCCUCUCAUUCCUUUUCUCUCAAUUCUCUCAUUCUCUCUCACAAAAAUCUUCCACAACAAAAAGUUUAGUCAUUAUUUAUGUUCAUGAUCUAUAGGUCAUCAUUAAGCGAGUCGGAUUUUCAUCAAAAUCUAUUGGAUCAGUGGUUUUCACAGGUGUUAUUCAUCCGCAGGAGCCAAGAGAUUAGAAGCUGGGAAUUGAAAGUCGUCCUCCAACCUUUGAUAUAUUUCUGUUGUUAUAUUUGUUUUAAUGAACUAUGAUCCUUUGCUUCCUUUGAUCUGUGAAAUAAGUUGAUUUGUUCUUGCACAAGUUUA